RNAcentral lists this non-coding RNA (20 nucleotides) under Arabidopsis thaliana (thale cress). Lineage: Eukaryota; Viridiplantae; Streptophyta; Magnoliopsida; Brassicales; Brassicaceae. The record is from RNAcentral.
UAGAGUGCUCAAAGCAAGCC